GCGUUGUUCGGAUUCAUUGGGCGUAAAGGGUGCGUAGGUGGCGCCGUAAGUCAGGUGUGAAAUCUCGGGGCUCAACCCCGAAACUGCACUUGAUACUGCGGUGCUCGAGUACUGGAGAGGAGAUUGGAAUUUACGGUGUAGCAGUGAAAUGCGUAGAUAUCGUAAGGAAGACCAGUGGCGAAGGCGAAUCUCUGGACAGUUACUGACACUGAGGCACGAAGGCCAG
This 226-nucleotide ribosomal RNA is filed under the name uncultured bacterium. RNAcentral's name for it is "partial 16S ribosomal RNA". It matches the Rfam family "Bacterial small subunit ribosomal RNA", at positions 538 to 763 of the family's 1533-position model. The record is from RNAcentral.